UCUGGACUUGCUGUAAGUGUAGCAGACACCAACCCCACAAAGUGACAUAAUACAAGAAGGGCAAGGAUUCUCUGCCCAGGGAAAGCAGCAUUAUGAAGGAAGCAGAGUGGGUAUGGGGGGUAAGUCGACUCUGGCUAAAAGACUAAAACUAUAAAAAAGAUUGUGCUGAGGCUUGAGUUUGAGCUCAUGUGCAAAAUCCAAGGGAAUGCUAGCUAUUAAGAGAUGCAAGCAUUUUGAACUGGGAGGAGGUAAGAAGAGACAGGCAA
RNAcentral lists this long non-coding RNA (266 nucleotides) under Homo sapiens (human). RNAcentral's name for it is "non-protein coding lnc-KCNK12-4:1". The record is from RNAcentral. Lineage: Eukaryota; Metazoa; Chordata; Mammalia; Primates; Hominidae.